UACGUAGGGCGCAAGCGUUAUCCGGAAUUAUUGGGCGUAAAGAGCUCGUAGGCGGUUUGUCGCGUCUGCCGUGAAAGUCCGGGGCUCAACCCCGGAUCUGCGGUGGGUACGGGCAGACUUGAGUGCAGUAGGGGAGACUGGAAUUCCUGGUGUAGCGGUGAAAUGCGCAGAUAUCAGGAGGAACACCGGUGGCGAAGGCGGUUCUCUGGGCAUUACCUGACGCUGAGGAGCGAAAGUGUGGGGAGCGAACAGG
RNAcentral lists this ribosomal RNA (253 nucleotides) under uncultured bacterium. Its description in RNAcentral is "partial 16S ribosomal RNA". It matches the Rfam family "Bacterial small subunit ribosomal RNA", at positions 524 to 776 of the family's 1533-position model. The record is from RNAcentral.